UACGAAGGGGGCUAGCGUUGCUCGGAAUUACUGGGCGUAAAGCGCACGUAGGCGGCUUUGCAAGUCAGAGGUGAAAGCCCGGGGCUCAACCCCCGGAAUUGCCUUUGAGACUGCAUCGCUAGAACGUCGGAGAGGUGAGUGGAAUUCCGAGUGUAGAGGUGAAAUUCGUAGAUAUUCGGAAGAACACCAGUGGCGAAGGCGACUCACUGGACGACUGUUGACGCUGAGGUGCGAAAGCGUGGGGAGCAAACAGG
This 254-nucleotide ribosomal RNA is filed under the name uncultured bacterium. Its description in RNAcentral is "partial 16S ribosomal RNA". It matches the Rfam family "Bacterial small subunit ribosomal RNA", at positions 524 to 776 of the family's 1533-position model. The record is from RNAcentral.